RNAcentral lists this Y RNA (102 nucleotides) under Propithecus coquereli (Coquerel's sifaka). RNAcentral describes it as "Y RNA (ENSPCOG00000000109.1)". It matches the Rfam family "Y RNA". From Rfam's summary of the family: Y RNAs are components of the Ro ribonucleoprotein particle (Ro RNP), in association with Ro60 and La proteins. The Y RNAs and Ro60 and La proteins are well conserved, but the function of the Ro RNP is not known. The record is from Rfam by way of RNAcentral. Lineage: Eukaryota; Metazoa; Chordata; Mammalia; Primates; Indriidae.
GGUUGGCCCAAGUGCAGUGGUGUUUACAACUAAUUGAUGACAACCAAUUAUAGAUUCCUUUGUCCCCUCUCCACUGCCACCACUUCACUUGACCAGCCUUUA